RNAcentral lists this transfer RNA (77 nucleotides) under Acholeplasma oculi. Its description in RNAcentral is "tRNA-Asn(gtt)". It matches the Rfam family "tRNA". From Rfam's summary of the family: Transfer RNA (tRNA) molecules are approximately 80 nucleotides in length. Their secondary structure includes four short double-helical elements and three loops (D, anti-codon, and T loops). Lineage: Bacteria; Bacillati; Mycoplasmatota; Mollicutes; Acholeplasmatales; Acholeplasmataceae. The record is from RNAcentral.
GCCUACUUAGCUCAGUCGGUUAGAGCAUCUGACUGUUAAUCAGAGGGUCGCCUGUUCGAGUCAGGCAGUGGGCGCCA